AACGCUGGCGGCGUGCCUAACACAUGCAAGUCGAGCGAUUUACUUCGGUAAAGAGCGGCGGACGGGUGAGUAACGCGUGGGUAACCUGCCCUGUACACACGGAUAACAUACCGAAAGGUAUGCUAAUACGAGAUAAUAUGCUUUUAUCGCAUGGUAGAAGUAUCAAAGCUCCGGCGGUACAGGAUGGACCCGCGUCUGAUUAGCUAGUUGGUAAGGUAACGGCUUACCAAGGCGACGAUCAGUAGCCGACCUGAGAGGGUGAUCGGCCACAUUGGAACUGAGACACGGUCCAAACUCCUACGGGAGGCAGCAGUGGGGAAUAUUGCACAAUGGGCGAAAGCCUGAUGCAGCAACGCCGCGUGAGCGAUGAAGGCCUUCGGGUCGUAAAGCUCUGUCCUCAAGGAAGAUAAUGACGGUACUUGAGGAGGAAGCCCCGGCUAACUACGUGCCAGCAGCCGCGGUAAUACGUAGGGGGCUAGCGUUAUCCGGAAUUACUGGGCGUAAAGGGUGCGUAGGUGGUUUCUUAAGUCAGAGGUGAAAGGCUACGGCUCAACCGUAGUAAGCCUUUGAAACUGGGAAACUUGAGUGCAGGAGAGGAGAGUGGAAUUCCUAGUGUAGCGGUGAAAUGCGUAGAUAUUAGGAGGAACACCAGUUGCGAAGGCGGCUCUCUGGACUGUAACUGACACUGAGGCACGAAAGCGUGGGGAGCAAACAGGAUUAGAUACCCUGGUAGUCCACGCCGUAAACGAUGAGUACUAGCUGUCGGAGGUUACCCCCUUCGGUGGCGCAGCUAACGCAUUAAGUACUCCGCCUGGGAAGUACGCUCGCAAGAGUGAAACUCAAAGGAAUUGACG
This 854-nucleotide ribosomal RNA is filed under the name uncultured bacterium. RNAcentral describes it as "bacterial SSU rRNA". It matches the Rfam family "Bacterial small subunit ribosomal RNA", at positions 32 to 915 of the family's 1533-position model. The record is from RNAcentral.